UCUCCCCCGCUCCAUAAGCAACAGUAGCAUAUGCUUCUGACACAGGAAAGAAAAGUGACUACGAGACCUCAGGAAAGAGACUUGGCAGAGCUUUGACUGGCUUGCCACUUCCGGAAAGUAAAAUAUUGCACCACAAGGCGUAUACUAAAUGCUCUGGUGUCCUGCACUAUAGCAGGCUCAGCUGCUCCCAGAAUUAUGUUGGAAACUGUAAGUGAAGUAGCCUCACAACAGAGGUUGCCAACAGAAUAACAGCAAAACCCUUUAUAGCCCAGGAAGUUGAGGCUGCAGUGAGCCUCACGGCUCUUGCAUCACUGUACUCCAGCCUGGGUGACAGAGUAAGACCCUAUCUCAAAAAAAAAAAAAAAAAUCAAAUCUCAACUACAGAAACAGGCACUCAAGUGAGAAGCCACCACUAUUUGAGGAGAGUCAACACUAUGAAAGAGAAGUAGUAACAUUAGCAAAUGGAAGAACUUACACAAAGACUACAGAAUUAGUAGGACAAUAAAACAGGAUUUAAAGAAACAGACCAGCAUCAGAUUUCCCAUCUAGAAUAUACUAGAUAAAAGUAUGAAGUAAUUUUGAAUACAUAAAUGAAAUAAUUAUGACUCUAAGUGACAACACUGCUAGUUUUCUUCACACUGUUUUCUUGCUUCUUGCUAAUUAACAAUACUCCAAUAUUACUUAAAGUAGUAAAAUGUCCACUUAAAAAUACUUCUUCAGACACCCUUAUAACUAGAACUGUCUGUGUGACAUAGAAAUGUAAGCAGAAAAAUAUAGGGUGGAGGUCUCUGGAAUUCUCUUUUUCUGAUAAAAAGGAACAGACAUAGCUGACCUACGUAUAUUAUCCUUCUCCUUGUCCUAUCUUCUUCCUUGCUGGAACAUAGACUUAAUAAUUACAGAUACAUAAACCAUUUUGUGCCAAUGAGAACUAAAACCACAUCUUAAGAUUUGCCUAUAGAAAGAUAGAAGGCAUUUUUGACAGCUUCUCUGAGCAAUUGCACCAGCCUAAGAAUUUCAAUCUCCAGCCUAAAUGAAAAAACAAAAAUCAACAACAACAAAAAGAAAAACAACUCUCUUUUGUCAACUGUCCCAUCCAUCCUACACACCAGUCUAUUUGGUGGAUUUCUGAACAACGGUUACUGAGCAAAAUACAGCAGGACAUCAAGCUUGGCACAAACUUUUCUUGACCUGUGCUGUAGGCACCAUGCAGAGUUCCUGCCUUUGAGGAUUUUAUUUUGUUUGAGGAAAUAGACGAACACAGUGACUUCAAUGCCGUCCUGGAGAUAUUUCAGGCAGCGGGAACCUUGUGGACAAAGAUAUUGAAGCAGGGAAGUGUAGGGCUUGUUUCAGGAAAGGCGAUUAGAACUACAUGAUUGAAACAGGAAGGUCCAAGGUCAAGGCCAUCUCUCUGGAGAACUGCAAAAGGCACCAUCCCAUUGUCUUCUUGGGAGAAGAUUUGAAGGGAGAAAUGACAUCAGAUUUGCCCAUUUCUAAAAGGACAAAAGCUCUAUAUUUUCCUGCAUCAGCAAAACUGUCAACUGGAGAUAAGGCGUUUGUAACUAAUUCCCAAGGGUAGAAUUUAUCAAUACCGCCGGUUUCAAAGGAGCAUUCAGUAAUAAGGAAACAUAAAAGAACUCAACUACAGAAAACUGAUGCUUUAUUUUAAAAUUUAAGAAACUGCCACCAUGCAUCCCUAAG
Long non-coding RNA from Callithrix jacchus (white-tufted-ear marmoset), 1698 nucleotides. RefSeq lists it as uncharacterized. The record is from RefSeq and is a predicted model, not a curated record. NCBI's taxonomy places the organism in Eukaryota, Metazoa, Chordata, Mammalia, Primates, Cebidae.